GUCUACGGCCAUGCCACCCUGAACAAGCCCCAUCCCGUCUGAUCUCAUAAGCUAAGCAGGGUUGGGCCUGGUUAGUACUUGGAUGGGAGACCAUCCAGGAAGACCAGGUGCUGUAGGCA
Molecule: ribosomal RNA, 119 nt
Filed under: Pteropus alecto (black flying fox)
Lineage: Eukaryota; Metazoa; Chordata; Mammalia; Chiroptera; Pteropodidae
Source: RNAcentral